RNAcentral lists this ribosomal RNA (467 nucleotides) under uncultured bacterium. RNAcentral describes it as "bacterial SSU rRNA". It matches the Rfam family "Bacterial small subunit ribosomal RNA", at positions 34 to 518 of the family's 1533-position model. The record is from RNAcentral.
CGCUGGCGGCACGCCUAACACAUGCAAGUCGAACGGAGAUUACUUAGCUUGCUUGUAAUCUUAGUGGCGGACGGGUGAGUAACACGUGAGCAACCUGCCUCUGAGAGAGGGAUAGCUUCUGGAAACGGAUGGUAAUACCUCAUAACAUACAUUGACCGCAUGAUCAAUGUAUCAAAGAUUUAUCACUCAGAGAUGGGCUCGCGUCUGAUUAGCUAGUUGGUGAGGUAACGGCCCACCAAGGCGACGAUCAGUAGCCGGACUGAGAGGUUGAACGGCCACAUUGGGACUGAGACACGGCCAGACUCCUACGGGAGGCAGCAGUGAGGGAUAUUGCACAAUGGAGGAAACUCUGAUGCAGCGAUGCCGCGUGGAGGAAGAAGGUUUUCGGAUUGUAAACUCCUGUUUCGAGGGACGAUAAUGACGGUACCUCGGGAGGAAGCUCCGGCUAACUACGUGCCAGCAGCUGC